UACGUAGGGACCGAGCGUUGUCCGGAAUCAUUGGGCGUAAAGGGCGCGUAGGCGGCUCUGAUCGUCGGAUGUGAAAGGCCUGGGCUCAACCUGGGAAUGGCAUCCGAUACGGCGGGGCUGGAGUGUGGGAGAGGUUGGUGGAAUUCCCAGUGUAGAGGUGAAAUUCGUAGAUAUUGGGAAGAACACCGGUGGCGAAGGCGGCCAACUGGACCACAACUGACGCUGAGGCGCGAAAGCGUGGGGAGCAAACAGG
Molecule: ribosomal RNA, 253 nt
Filed under: uncultured bacterium
Lineage: Bacteria
Description: partial 16S ribosomal RNA
Rfam family: Bacterial small subunit ribosomal RNA
Source: RNAcentral